CUAAUUUCUAGGAUAAUUUGUUGCCCUAUCUUUUUGAACCUUGUGCCCGGCCCAGUUGCCCCUUUCCCGAACGACCAUUCUCUCUCUCCGUCUCUCUCUCACUCCGAGAGAGAGGGAGAGAUUAUUUUCAUAGCUUCCUUUCAAUGAAAAUACCCUUCGAAGGAGGAGCGACAGUGGAUUGCAGAGAAAGGAUAGGUUCGUGGCGAAGAUUAGGGUAAUGGGAGCGGAUGAGAGAGGUUUAAGGUUUUGAAAGGAUGGGGAGGAUUAGGGUUAUGAUUACAACAAAAAAAACCGGGGAUGUAUUCGAAGAGGAGUAAGAUUUGUGAAUCUCACUCACCCCAUUCCUUCUCUUUCUCUCUCAAAUCCUUACUCACGUAACGCUCUCACAGAUUCUUCCCUUUCUUCAGUCCACUAGAGGUCGGUUCCUCAUCUCGAGUAGAUACUACGAUGCAGCACUGGGUGAAGUUGCAGCCAAUGAAUGACAAAAUUGUUCUCAAUCAACAAAAACCUGGGUGGAGCCGGUUCGUCUUGGCUUGGGCUUCCACAGCGCUUCUGUCGGCCAGACAAUGCCAUCGCUACUGCAUCAAUGUGGGGAUUGUUUGAACCCCUUUGAGGAGUUGGUCCAUUCUUAUUCUUCUAGAGAAGUGCCUAUUUGUUCACAUGGAGAACUAACUGAACCUGGAGCACUGUUCAAGAAUUUAAUGUCCGUUCUUCGGGGUGUUGUUAUAUGCUACGAUGGGACUGUGAGAGAUGUUUGUAGCAAUUCUGUGGUCCACUUAGUAUGGUGAGGACUGGGGAGGCUGUAACUAAUCCCAAGAGUUUCUAUGCUGCUGGUGAGCCUGUAAGUGAUUUAGUUGUGACUGCAUUUUCAAAAAUCCUGCAUAUAAGGCAGUUCAUGAUUCUUAUCCAAGUAGCAAUUCAUUGUGGGAAAUGAUGAAGGUAUUUAUUGGUUCAAUUAAUUUCCAAAUUCAUAUAUCUUUGUAUUCCCCAUUGACCCUUUUUUUUUUUUUAAUAUAAAUUUUGUAUGAACGUUUCUGCGCUUAUAACUUUCAGAAAAUAUUUCAAGAAUAAGCAUAUUGAUUGACGUAUAAUAAUGUACCUGAAUGGCUGCGGUUGUGGGACAGAUAGGGAAAAUGUUGCAUGUAUAGUUCAGAAUCAGUUGGAGAGAGUCGGCCUGGACGAUAUAUUAGUUGAUUUUAUGAUUAUGUAAUUUUUAUUAUCUUUAAUUCCCAUUUCCUUUUUUUCAAAUAUUUAGUUCUUGUUAUAACAGGGAUUUAGGGUUCAAUCGUUAAGCCAUUUUUCUGGAGUUCCUGUUUGGAUACUGUUUCUGCAUAUGCUUAGUCAUCUUAUUAUUAUAGCAUUUUACUUGAACGAUAUUUUAAUUACUCCAAUUUUUUUAGUUGUUUGCUCAAAUAGUAUAACUGUAUAUUGCCAAUUCAAUCUUAAAACAUUUUUUCAAUUCACUGGUUUAAAUAAAAGUGAAAUAUCCAUGUCAUUGGUCAUACAUCUGAUCUCUUUUUGGUCAAAUGUCUACACAAUUUACUAGUUAUACAUUUAUAAAUAACCUAUACUUGCCUCAUGUAUGAUCAGAAAAAUCAUGACAGUUUGCUAGAAUAUCUGCAGUUUGGAUGGUGAUGAUCAUCUAACUAUAUUUGUCUUGGAAGUACUCGUGACAUUUUUUUUUUUAGGGGGUGCGGGUGUGGGUGGGGGAGUUGUUUGACUUGUAAAUCAUGUACAAAUAUUACAUUUAUGAUGAUAAUGACAAUUUGAUUGCUAUUCUAACAAGUGUUCUAGAAAAUGGAUGGACCUGAUCGUUAAACCGUUUGGACUGUGAAGCACAAUUGUCAUGAGCAUAUCGAUGUCAACUGUUAAGUAGCAUGAUCCUCUCCCCCCCCCCCCCCUCUUCUUCAACACCAUUCACUGGUUAAUGAAGGCAUUAUCACCAGAUGGUCAAACUAUUUUUACUGUCAAAACCAAAUAGUCAGAAUGUACGUCAGGAGGUAUCUCUUUUUGGUAAAUAUUGUGGAUGGGGUUAUAUCAGACUAUCAACUACAUUGCCUUGCAAUAAUGUUUCUCCCCGUCUUGGUUUCAUAAACAUCAAUCACUGAAUUCUCUGAUCUUUUUUCAUACAGUUUUGUUUUAUAUAUUAGCCAUAUCUGUAAUGUAGUUGCAUUUCUUCAUGCAGAGGAUUGUCUGGAGAAGGGUAUGUCUGGUCAUAUAGAUUAGUGUUUCUUAUUGGUGUUUCCAAGGCUGUACACUCCGUACAUUCUGGCUUGAUCCCUGGCUUGUUUAACAACCAACUGAAGGAAAAUAAUGUGUUGCUAGAUGAGCAUCAGGCUAAGAGAGAAAGCCACAAAUGGUAUAUAUAUGGUGAUCAAGGCAGGUAUGAUGUAGCAUCUGAAGACUCAUCCUACUCAGAUGAUUCCAAUCCAAGCACAAACUAAAAGUAUGCCAUUUCGCUCGAAGGCGUUAAACUACGACUAUUAAGUUAGUGAGAUAGUCAUGCUGGUGGACUUAAAAAGGAUCCAGUGCCCUUCUAGGUUAGAAAGCAUUUUGUGAUUUUGCAAUAUCUCCGUUAGAAAAGUCAAGAGCUGUGUGAAGCCUUAGUGAGGGUUUCCCUAUCAAAAUAAUACCAGCUUAGGUCGGAGGCAACUGGGAGCGAAAGCGUUUGCCGGAUGAAAAAUCCGCAGUAUAAGUCCUAACCGUAUAGUGAUGAUUAUUUGGAUAUGAGGAUAUGGUGGUGGGACCGCCGAAGGAAACUCACUGAGUUGCGUGGAUCACCCUCAUGGACAUCCGAGAGAGUAUUGCUUUUUGUGACACGUGGAAUCACUCUAGUGGACAAUCAACUCCACUAAGGAUCAAAACACGAGGAAUGAUGUUAUUGGACUGAUAAUUUAAACAAGGAUUGUGUGUUUGUUCCAAGACAUGUGGAAUCAUUUCAUCGGUUUGUCAACUUGGACAAGGAUUUUGUUUGCUUUUGGUUAUGUUAUGGUCGAGUCAUUUUUUCCUUUGGUAAAGUCUUGGUUGCUUUAAUUGAAAUCAGUAUUGGUCCUUGCUUGUAAUUAUCUAUGAAAGGAAGUGCAUGGUUGUAAAUUGUCCUCCCCCCUGAAGACUAUAGAUAGGGGCUUUGUGUUGUGUUGGAGGCAUAACUGGGGAGCUGUCCUAACCUCCAUGUGGAAUCUUGUAGUGUCGUAUACUUCUUCUUCUUCAUAAUAAAAAACAGGCCGAGCAUCCAGUUUGCUAGGAGUUUCCCCUAUCAAAGGUUUUCUCCAUCAUCAAAAGUUGUCUAGUGUUCCAGUGCAUUCUUCUCUAUUAUUGUUUUUAUUUCACAUUUGACAAGUAUGCUCUACGGUUGCCUAUCAAAUGAUCGUCCACAUCAAAAUCUUGGGAAAAGGACAGGUAUCUGGUCGUGUUCCCUAUGCCCUCUCGCAAGGGGCUGUGAAAUGAUCAAGCAACCUCCCAUGUUGGAUGCCCCAAUGUGCUGUCCCAUUGGCUACGCCACCCGUGACCAGUCACCAGGAUGCCUUUUCACCAUGAAACAGUCGUAUUGUUUCCACAAAGGACACUGGGCUCCAUGUGAAUAUGGGGAUAGCUUCUAUAUGCUGCUGUUUGGAGCUAUUUAGAUUGGCUGUUCUCAGAUACCUGAAUGAUCCAAAUGGUGGAGAUGAUGCUUGAAUCUGGUUUGACAAUGUACAGUUCCCUUGAUAGAAAUUAUGGAAUUCAAUUGUUGAUGUACCACCAGACGAGCAAUAUCAGAGUGCAAUAAAAGACCCAAAUCAAGUAUUAGGUAAGCCAUUGCUAUAAGGUAUUCAUUGACAAGCAAGGCCUUCUCUGUGUCACCAAGUGGGCUUCAGAUCCUAUUGCUCAAUUACCCAAGUCAUCAGGCUACAUUUCAAGGAAGAUAGAUCCAUAGGUAAUAUAAGACGAGAGCAAGAAAAGAAAUAGAAAUUGACUUGAAUAAUCUGAUUAAUAGUUGUGUUUUGUUACCCGUGAUGUUUCUACCCCUAUUUGUAACAGCAUUAAAUUACUUUAUCUAUGUUCAAUUGCAUGUUCAUGUUCACGAUUUUAUUUUCUUCCAUAUCUACCCCACACGUUAGCAUUUAAACAUUUCUGUUACAUACAUAUACUCUCUCCUCCAUCUUACAAAUGGCCACACAUGCGAGUUUACUAGCACAUAUAUAUGUUGCUGCUUACGGACUUCCGCAGACAAAUAUAGUCAAGGACAGUCUACUGUCAUAAUGAGUUUAUGGUUUUCCAUCAUUAAUUGCAGAUAACUGAACAUAAACUCUCUUUGACAGUUCAUUUGAUGAACCUGUUACAUCAGAGUGUGUGUGUGUGAGAGAGAGAGUUAACUCACGAUGUCGUUCUAGAUGCUAUUGUUACAUCAACCACCUUUUGUUUCCUAAUGUUUUAAUGUUUUCUCCUUGCCUAUAAUUUAUUAGAUUUUUCCUAUCAAUAGCAAACAAUUGGUUGAUUUCUGAUGUGGUUAUGACUCUUUGUUGUUGUUUUUGUUGAUGUUAUGACUCGCUGAGGAGUUGGAAAAUACAAGACAGUGUGAUGCUAUAUGUGGAGGAUUCAGUUUAGAGACCAUCUGCAAAAGGUCCCAAAACUCUUAAGAUGUUAAUUUAUUUGGUGAUGACAUACUUUAUCUUUUAUUCUACUCUGUCCUCAUGUUAUCUUGAUUGCAUGGUGGUGAUCUUUGACAUAUAUUUACUCUGGAUUGUGAUAUACGCAUCCUUUUAUUUCAGGAGUGUUGAAAGGAAUGCUCAUGAUAAACGACCUGCAUAGCAAGUUGGCCUUUUUAUUUCAGGAGUGUUGAAAGGAAUGCUCUUGAUAAAUGUCCUGCAUAGCAUGUUGGUCUUUUUAUUAGGGGGUGGUUGGGGGGUUCACAAAUAAGAAGGCCCACAAAAUUUGGACUCUUAGAAAAGGUUUUGAUGAAUACUUCGCAAAUAAUUUUGUACAAAAGCUUUGGAAUCUGGAAAAAAAAAUGUUUAGAUUGAUUUAUCACAUCAGCCUAGAUCAUUUUCAGUUUUCCCCUGACAAUCAAUGCGACCAAAUUAAUGUCUUCUUUCUCAGGGUGCUUGUAUUGUUUGGUUUCUCAGGCCAUGUUACUUGAUAUUGCCACAAGCAUGCUUCCCUUCUAAUUCUCUAUGAUUCUUUUGCAUCUGACUUGUGCUUCUGAAAUAAGCUGCACGACUCAUGGAGUUACUGCUAACACAUUUUCACUAAUGAAGUAUUUUUCCAUUUUAGGCUGUUUUAGAAGUAUUUAAUUUACUAAUUGAUUGAUAUCUUUGGAUUUUUUUAAUAUUUGUAUCUCAGAUAUCACGCACAAGUGAAUAUGAUCCACUGGAUCUGUUCUCUGGAAUAAACCACGCCAGAAAGGCACUCUGUCACCUUACAAAACAAUUUCAGCGUAAUUCUUACAUGGCCAUCACUACUGCCUCCUGUAGGAGUUUGGGCCGUCUCUCAGUCUCAGUGUGGCUGAUCGUUCUCUCAGACCAGCUACUAAUCAUCGCCUUAGUAAGAUAUUGCCUCACUAAUUAGCUAAUCAGAAGCAAGCCCUUCGGGGAGAUUCCUCCUGUUGUUUCUCAGCCUAUGGGUAUUAGCAACUGUUUCCAGCUCUUCUUUCCCUCCCAAGGGUAGGUUCAUAUGUGUGCCUUAUUUUUGAAGGCUUGAAAGGUAGCUUGGAAUCUGCAGUAGCCGACACAUUGAAAUAAACAAUGGAUUUGAAUAUCUGAUUAAUGGAGUGAUCAUAGUAUUUUUGGGCCCACAUUUGGGUAGAUUCUUGGAGGUUGUUGGAGAAACAGUUUUAGAUGAGACCUGCUUGAAAGUUACUGGAAGUUCAAAAGCUUGACAAAUUUCAUACCGAAGGGGCUAUCCAUGCAUAUUACAACAUUUUACAACCUGCGUGGUAUGCAAAGAUUUCAACGAUGUUAGGGUCUCCAACUGUCUACUCGUCUCUGCAUUCUCUUUUAUUGGAGGAAAGCAUGAAGGUUUGUAAAAAUUAUCUUAUAGCUGCAACCGGGAAGGAUUGUAGUAUGAUGGUCAGUUUAGAACCAAAAUUGGAUGGGAACCUGAUGUUUGGUUAUGUCUCUGCAUACCUGCAACCAGUAGAUCAACAUUUUGCUUACUAGGUAUGCUUCUUUUCCUUCACUUCCUGUUGUUUGUAUGAGUGCCUAUAUUGUUCAAUUUCACCUUAUUCUGUCAUAGCAUAAGGUGUGAUGCUCAUAAGCACACUUGCAUGCUCCCACAUACCAACGUUAGUAGAGCUGAUUGCUUUUGUGUUUAUGUUAGGGUCUUCAACUGUCUAUUUUGCUGUCAUUUUAUUUGUUGAACUAUGCACCUGAGAUUCUGGCCUAUGGUUGGGUUAGUUGGGGUUUCUGUUCUGCAAUUGCAAGAAAUGCAGUCGCUUUCUGCUACUAGUCCUGGAGACAUUUUUGCCAAUACUGUUUUGUUUAGAAUGUUGUGUAGUCAGCGUUUUGUGGUCAAUUUCAGCAUGUUUAUUCGAAAAUAUUGGUUUUGUGGCUCACUGCAAAGGGCUGACGUGGCUGUUCUGACUGUUAAGAUGGAUAUGAAACUGUUUUGAUUUGCCAAAUGUCAAAUUUCGGGAUUCAGCUCAUUUGUAUUUUCUUGAAGUUGAGUUGACUGCAUUGUAACUAUUGUCCUCAGAUUUUUUUUUUUGGAGUAUCCUUGACAUGAAUAUGAAACCUUUCAAGAAGAUGGUUUACUACU
This is an RNA transcript of Macadamia integrifolia, 6732 nucleotides long. RefSeq lists it as uncharacterized. The record is from RefSeq and is a predicted model, not a curated record. The transcript is spliced from 7 exons. NCBI's taxonomy places the organism in Eukaryota, Viridiplantae, Streptophyta, Magnoliopsida, Proteales, Proteaceae.